CUGUUAGCGUUAAAAGGGGCGUGAAGUUUGCUGCUAGCAACUAGCUAACCUAGCUCCUGAUCAUCUUGGAUCUGGUUUAUUCUUGGCGGCGUCCUCCAGAAACGAAAAACGAAUUUGUAGAGCGAGUACUAUUUGCGAUAGACACUGUUGUAGUUUCUUCUGUGAGACGUAAAAGCUACUAGGUUAACGGACAGGACCAUUUAGUUUGUGAAAUGUUGACCCAGCUGCUCUGUGGACAUAGCAUUGUGGCUAUCGGCGUUACUGCUAACUUAGCUAGUUAGCCUAGCAGGGUAGAUAGUUAGGCUGCUAGCUGUGGAUGAAACUAGCUAGCUAGCGAGGAGCCUAACAUGACACUGGCUUGAAUUAGCUAGAAGCUAGACUCACGUAAUGAGAAUCACUUAACGCCAGCGUCGUUAUGUUAACGUCAGCUACAUUAUAAUCGAUUUGUUUUGCACUUAAAGUCAACAGUUGGUCAUGGCUACCGAUAAUUAGCUAAUUGAACGCGCUAACAUGCAGUGCUAGCUAAGCAUAGUAGCGUUUCAGUCGUCACGUAGCUACUGCUGCCCUGCACCAGCAAAAGGGUCGGUAGCCUGCAGACACAGGGCAUUGUGCGGUAUGUAGCAAUGGUAUGCUAACCACCCACAGUUGGUCAUAGCACAUGCCAGUUCUGGCAGACCACACAGUCAUGAUAUGUAGAAUUAUAGAAAUAGCGUUGUUAUGAUUAACAGCCAGGUUUAAAGCGCUUUAACACCGAAGUUAUACAGGAGACAGGGCCUUGCGGUUUUGCAGUGGGUUUAAUGUUACAUUUCGUUAGCUAGCUAGGUUGUCUAACGUCAGCUUAGUUGCCUGAUUGAUGAUGUUUCUUCAGAAUAUGUAAAGUCAGCAAAGUUUGGAGAGCAACAAUGUAACACAACUGAGCUGGUUAGCCAUUUUAAGUUCAUUAAUUAGUGGCGGGCAGCGUUAGCUAGCAAAAUGAACAAUUCAGGAGUCUUGCCCCAAGAAAAGAUGGAACUGGAUCUGGAAAUACCAUCUUCGUUAGCUCAGGGCGAUGGACACUUGAGAAGAUCCAACAGUGCACCCAUGAUAAAUGGCCUAAGUGAUAACUCCCAGGUAUUCCAGAGAGAGGUCCUGCGUAGCCGGAGAAACAGCACCACAGUUGUCAACAGGCCCAACAUGGUCCCUUCAUCACCUGUUCGCGUCCCCAGCACCAGACUUCAUCAGAUAAAACAAGAGGAGGGUGUGGAUGUGAUGAACAGAGAAACUGCCCAUGAGCGGGAGGUUCAAGCUGCCAUGCAAAUGAGCCAGUCCUGGGAAGAAAGCAUGAGUCUGAGUGACAAUGAUUUGGAGAAGUCGGCAUCUUCGUCUCCAAAGCGCGUCGACUUUGUGCCUGUGUCGCCUGCACCAUCUCCAACAAGAGGGAUAGGAAAAAAGCAGUGUUUCUCUCCCUCGCUGCAAAUCCUCGUGAGCAGCAAUGGCCUGACACCCAGCCCAGUACCCAGCCCAACACGCCGCUUCAGCCGACGGAGUCAAAGCCCAAUCAACUGCAUAAGAGCCAGCAUACUCGGGCCAAUGAAACGCAAAGGCGAGAUGGAGACAGAGAGUCAGCCGAAGAGGCUCUUCCAGGGCACCACCACCAUGCUGUCCUCCGAUGUCUCCAGCCUGUCAGAGCUCAGUUCCUGGUAAGACUUGGGGGAUCAACAACAAAAUGUCAGAACAACCGUUCAAAAGCACACUGUUUAGUCACUCUCCAGAUUUGCUGGAGGGCAGCCUCAGCAGCGUGGGAUCCUCCACAGACUCGCCAGGCAAGAUGGAGGGAGUGUCGCCGUCCUCGUCCAGCAACUCGCCCUUUGCUUCCCUCCAGGAUUUGUCCCCAAAGUGAGCAUGGGCUAGACAGACGCUAAAAGGGACAAUUGCCAAAACUCCCCUCUCCAGGGAACCAGUUUCCUUCCAUUUCAAGAUCACCUAGAUUUAAAUGGAAGUUUCCAUGUUUGCUUUUGAGCGGCUGUUUUCGUGGCUACAUUUUGGAGGGUGUAAGAUAUGUUUGAAUUAAGGAAACGAAAGCCAUGGAUUAGUUUUAGUGUGGAAGAGGUAAGCCUAGUGAAACUAGCAAUGACUGAGAGACACGGCACCAGCUGCUAAUACAGGAUCUGGGAUGGUGCUUGGCUUCAUAGUGAUAGUGGUCAUUAGUGGCUCUGCUUUUGUCUUACCAGUUCCCCUCGCUACAGAGAGACAUUAAGCACUGGACAGAA
RNA transcript from Etheostoma cragini (Arkansas darter), 2249 nucleotides. It is a transcript of the gene named family with sequence similarity 122B, with no coding region annotated. NCBI's taxonomy places the organism in Eukaryota, Metazoa, Chordata, Actinopteri, Perciformes, Percidae. The transcript has 10 exons. The record is from RefSeq and is a predicted model, not a curated record.